This 468-nucleotide ribosomal RNA is filed under the name uncultured bacterium. Its description in RNAcentral is "partial 16S ribosomal RNA". It matches the Rfam family "Bacterial small subunit ribosomal RNA", at positions 28 to 507 of the family's 1533-position model. The record is from RNAcentral.
AACGAACGCUGGCGGCGUGCUUAACACAUGCAAGUCGAACGGAAAGGCCCUGCUUUUGUGGGGUGCUAGAGUGGCGAACGGGUGAGUAACCUGUGAGUAACCUGGCUUUGACUUUGGGAUAUCUUCAGGAAACUGGUGCUACUACCGAAUAGCAGCUCCUGCUGCUUGGUGGGGGUUGGACAUUUUCGGCGGAUGGGGAUGGACUCGGGGCUUAUCAGCUUGUUGGUGGGGUAGUGGCUAACCAAGGCUUUGACGGGUAGCCGGCCUGGGAGGGGGACCGGCCACAUGGGGACUGAGAUACGGCGCAGACUGCAACGGGAGGCAGCAGUGGGGAGGAUUGCACAGUGGGCGGGAGCCUGAUGCGACAACGCCGCGAGGGGGAUGACGGCCUGCGGGUUGGAAACCGCAGUCGCCUGUGACGAAGCGUGAGUGACGGUAAUGGGAGAAGAAGCACCGGCUAACUACGUG